AAGUCGUAACAAGGUUUCCGUAGGUGAACCUGCGGAAGGAUCAUUACCGAGUCGUCAAACAAGGGUUGUCGCUGGCCCCCCAAACGUGGGGCAUGUGCACGCCCUGUUUACACAUCCGCUCACACCUGUGCACCCUUUGUAGUUCUACGUUUGGGAGACCCCGUCUUCCUUCCGCGGCUCUACGUCUUUACACACACUCCGUAGUGAAGUCUCAUGGAAUGUUUUUCUGCGUUUAACGUGAUACAAUACAACUUUCAGCAACGGAUCUCUUGGCUCUCGCAUCGAUGAAGAACGCAGCGAAAUGCGAUAAGUAAUGUGAAUUGCAGAAUUCAGUGAAUCAUCGAAUCUUUGAACGCACCUUGCGCCCCUUGGCCAUUCCUCGGGGCAUGCCUGUUUGAGUAUCAUGAACACUUCAACUCUCAUGGUCCUCCAUGACGAGCUUGGACUUUGGGGGUUUGCUGGCCCUGCAGCCGGCUCCUCUCAAAUGGAUCAGCUUGCCGAUGUUUGGUGGCGACGUGGGUGUGAUAACUGUCUACGCUCGUGGUGUCGUCUGCCAGGUAACCCUCAGCAACGAAGGUUCGUCGGGGCUCACAAACGUCCCUCCUCGCGGGGGACAGCUUUUGAACGUUCGAUCUCAAAUCAGGUAGGACUACCCGCUGAACUUAAGCAUAUCAAUAAGCGGAGGAAAAGAAACUAACAAGGAUUCCCCUAGUAACUGCGAGUGAAGCGGGAAGAGCUCAAAUUUAAAAUCUGGCGUGCCUCUGGUCGUCCGAAUUGUAGUCUGGAGAAGCGUUUUCCGUG
This 801-nucleotide ribosomal RNA is filed under the name uncultured Thelephoraceae. Its description in RNAcentral is "eukaryotic LSU rRNA". The stretch from base 250 to 404 matches the Rfam family "5.8S ribosomal RNA". Lineage: Eukaryota; Fungi; Basidiomycota; Agaricomycetes; Thelephorales; Thelephoraceae. The record is from RNAcentral.